CCUACGGGAGGCAGCAGUGGGGAAUAUUGCGCAAUGGGCGAAAGCCUGACGCAGCGACGCCGCGUGAGGGAUGAAGGUCUUCGGAUCGUAAACCUCUGUCAGCAGGGAAGAACGGUCACUGUGCUAAUCAGCAGUGAAUUGACGGUACCUGCAAAGGAAGCACCGGCUAACUCCGUGCCAGCAGCCGCGGUAAUACGGAGGGUGCGAGCGUUAAUCGGAAUUACUGGGCGUAAAGCGCUCGUAGGCGGUAUGGCAAGUCAAGGGUGAAAUCCCCGCGCUCAACGUGGGAACUGCCUUUGAAACUGGCAGACUGGAGUGUGUGAGAGGAUAGUGGAAUUCCAGGUGUAGGAGUGAAAUCCGUAGAUAUCUGGAGGAACAUCAGUGGCGAAGGCGACUAUCUGGCACAUAACUGACGCUGAGGAGCGAAAGCGUGGGUAGCAAACAGGAUUAGAUACCCUAGUAGUC
Molecule: ribosomal RNA, 465 nt
Filed under: uncultured bacterium
Lineage: Bacteria
Description: partial 16S ribosomal RNA
Rfam family: Bacterial small subunit ribosomal RNA
Source: RNAcentral